AAGUCGUAACAAGGUUUCCGUAGGUGAACCUGCGGAAGGAUCAUUACUGAGUGAGGGCCCCUCGGGGUCCAACCUCCCACCCGUGUUUAACGAACCUUGUUGCUUCGGCGAGCCCGCCUCACGGCCGCCGGGGGGCAUCUGCCCCCGGGCCCGCGCCCGCCGAAGCCACCUGUGAACUCGUCUGAAGUAUGUAGUCUGAGACAAUUAUUAAAUUAAUUAAAACUUUCAACAACGGAUCUCUUGGUUCCG
Molecule: unclassified non-coding RNA, 249 nt
Filed under: air metagenome
Description: partial contains small subunit ribosomal RNA, internal transcribed spacer 1, and 5.8S ribosomal RNA
Rfam family: Eukaryotic small subunit ribosomal RNA (bases 1-46)
Source: RNAcentral